This 468-nucleotide ribosomal RNA is filed under the name uncultured bacterium. RNAcentral's name for it is "partial 16S ribosomal RNA". It matches the Rfam family "Bacterial small subunit ribosomal RNA", at positions 28 to 507 of the family's 1533-position model. The record is from RNAcentral.
GACGAACGCUGGCGGCGUGCUUAACACAUGCAAGUCGAACGGAAAGGCCCUGCUUUUGUGGGGUGCUCGAGUGGCGAACGGGUGAGUAACACGUGAGUAACCUGCCCUUGACUUUGUGAUAACUUCAGGAAACUGGGGCUAAUACCGGAUAGGAGCUCCUGCUGCUUGGUGGGGGUCGGAAAGUUUCGGCGGGUGGGGAUGGACUCGCGGCUUAUCAGCUUGUUGGUGGGGUAGUGGCUUACCAAGGCUUUGACGGGUAGCCGGCCUGAGAGGGUGACCGGCCACAUUGGGACUGAGAUACGGCCCAGACUCGUACGGGAGGCAGCAGUGGGGAAUAUUGCACAAUGGGGGGAAGCCUGAUGCAGCAACGCCGCGUGCGAAAUGACGGCCUUCGGGUUAUAAACCGCUUUCGCCUGUGACGAAGCGUGAGUGACGGUAAUGGGUAAAGAAGCACCGGCUAACUACGUG